This 530-nucleotide long non-coding RNA is filed under the name Mytilus galloprovincialis (Mediterranean mussel). Lineage: Eukaryota; Metazoa; Mollusca; Bivalvia; Mytilida; Mytilidae. The record is from RNAcentral.
UGGUGCAUGCUUUUGGUUCAUAUAAAAAAAGAAGAUGUGGCAUGAUUGCCAAUGAUACAACUAUCCACAAAAGACCAAAAUGACACAAACAUUAACAACUAUAGGUCACCGUACGGCCUUCAACAAUGAGCAAAGCCCAUACCGCAUAGUCAGCUUUAAAAGGCCCCGAUAAGACAAUGUAAAACAAUUCAAACGAGAAAACUAACGGCCUUAUUUAUGUAAAAUAAUGAACGAAAAACAAAUAUGCAACACAUAAACAAACGACAACCACUGAAUUACAGGCUCCUGACUUGGGACAGGCACAUACAUAAAUAAUGUGGGGGUGUUAAACAUGUUAGCGGGAUCCCAACCCUCCCCCUAACCUUGGAGAGUGGUAUAACAGUACAACAUAAGAACGAACUAUAAAAAUCAUUUGAAAAAGGCUUAACUCGUCAGAUAGACAAAAAAUACAAGUGGACGUGGCCGGGUUUUAAAUGUUUUAAAACAUCUGUAAUUUUCUUCUCUUUGUUCUUUCAAAAAGAGAUUCCCAG